This 74-nucleotide transfer RNA is filed under the name Arenimonas sp. Its description in RNAcentral is "tRNA-Gln". It matches the Rfam family "tRNA". From Rfam's summary of the family: Transfer RNA (tRNA) molecules are approximately 80 nucleotides in length. Their secondary structure includes four short double-helical elements and three loops (D, anti-codon, and T loops). Further hydrogen bonds mediate the characteristic L-shaped molecular structure. tRNAs have two regions of fundamental functional importance: the anti-codon, which is responsible for specific mRNA codon recognition, and the 3' end, to which the tRNAs corresponding amino acid is attached (by aminoacyl-tRNA synthetases). tRNAs cope with the degeneracy of the genetic code in two manners: having more than one tRNA (with a specific anti-codon) for a particular amino acid; and 'wobble' base-pairing, i.e. permitting non-standard base-pairing at the 3rd anti-codon position. The record is from RNAcentral. Lineage: Bacteria; Pseudomonadati; Pseudomonadota; Gammaproteobacteria; Lysobacterales; Lysobacteraceae.
UACCCGAUCGUCUAACGGUAGGACAACGGUUUCUGGAACCGUUAAUUGGGGUUCGAGUCCCUGUCGGGUAACCA